CAAGGUUUUCCUUAGGUGAACCUGCGGAAGGAUCAUUG
RNAcentral lists this ribosomal RNA (38 nucleotides) under Corymbia calophylla. RNAcentral describes it as "partial 18S ribosomal RNA". Lineage: Eukaryota; Viridiplantae; Streptophyta; Magnoliopsida; Myrtales; Myrtaceae. The record is from RNAcentral.